Molecule: long non-coding RNA, 1028 nt
Organism: Lolium perenne
Lineage: Eukaryota; Viridiplantae; Streptophyta; Magnoliopsida; Poales; Poaceae
Source: RefSeq, a predicted model, not a curated record
CGGAGCAGUAGCUUGCCUUCCCCGAGGCGCAAGUAGAGCUCGUGACAUGUGUGCUCACUGGCAGGUGACACGUCAGCGCUCUGUUACAUAUGUUGGAGGCUUGUUGGACCAAAUUAAAUGGGAGUCUCAUAAAUAGUUUUUGGUGCCAGUAUUCUGGCGGCGGUGGCAAAAGAACACACUUCAUGGGAACAGGUUUUGCUGCGAGCAGCGGCAAUGAUGACAGCUGUGACAUGGUGAGAUAUACCGGUGGCUCUCCACCGUCAGGAUCUCAUGCACUAGCCCAUCUUCAUGGUGGGGCCUCGUUCCACCCGCUCCCAUUUACUUGUUAUGCCACUCCUGAUACUCGUUAUGCCACUCCUGAUCUUGGACUUACCGUGCAUCUUCAAUUCUUGGACUCUCAAGAACUAGGAAGAGGAGGGUGAUGCGGCCCGAACUCGCCUCGCGUGUGUGGCUCUGCCUGGUCCACCGAACUCUCUCGCCGACCGGCCUUGGUGGCCGGCUCGCCUCCGGACAGUAGCUUUGGGUCUGGCGUGACUCAGAAAGCGUCCAUCCUUGUGUAGGCAGGGUAAUGUUGAGUAGUAUAGUCGACAAGUGCGCCAGGCCAGUAGUUGUAAUUGUCCAGUAACAUCCAGUCCUGUCAUUCUUCAAGACAUGUACUAGUGUGGUAACCGUUUCUUUUGUUGGUUAGACUUGUGAUGGUGCUGGAUUGUGUGCUAGACUGGUAGAUGAGCUCUGCUGGUUGCACUUUUGUUGUUCAUUGUUGGAUAUGUGUGAUCUGAAGUGUAGUAAAAAGAUGAGAAGUCAUGUUGAAUUUAUUGACGCACUUGCUAAUUUACUAGCUGAUAUAUUACCUUAACUCUUUUCCCCCAGAUGGGUCUCCAAGCUGAAAUGCUCAAAACGCUGAUCUAGCCUGAUUGUAUCCAGUAUUCCCCAGAUGCAGUCUGUUUGCGCUUCUUGUAAACAAGGGGCAAAUGAAUGGAAAGGAAAAAGUAGCGGCAAGCAAUCAAGCGUAGAUGAAAAAAGUGGCG